This 26-nucleotide non-coding RNA is filed under the name Drosophila melanogaster (fruit fly). Lineage: Eukaryota; Metazoa; Arthropoda; Insecta; Diptera; Drosophilidae. The record is from RNAcentral.
AACGAGAAUAUACACAGACUUACAAA